Molecule: ribosomal RNA, 376 nt
Filed under: Pseudomonas aeruginosa
Lineage: Bacteria; Pseudomonadati; Pseudomonadota; Gammaproteobacteria; Pseudomonadales; Pseudomonadaceae
Description: bacterial SSU rRNA
Rfam family: Bacterial small subunit ribosomal RNA
Source: RNAcentral
GAACUGAAGAGUUUGAUCAUGGCUCAGAUUGAACGCUGGCGGCAGGCCUAACACAUGCAAGUCGAGCGGAUGAAGGGAGCUUGCUCCUGGAUUCAGCGGCGGACGGGUGAGUAAUGCCUAGGAAUCUGCCUGGUAGUGGGGGAUAACGUCCGGAAACGGGCGCUAAUACCGCAUACGUCCUGAGGGAGAAAGUGGGGGAUCUUCGGACCUCACGCUAUCAGAUGAGCCUAGGUCGGAUUAGCUAGUUGGUGGGGUAAAGGCCUACCAAGGCGACGAUCCGUAACUGGUCUGAGAGGAUGAUCAGUCACACUGGAACUGAGACACGGUCCAGACUCCUACGGGAGGCAGCAGUGGGGAAUAUUGGACAAUGGGCGAA